This 254-nucleotide ribosomal RNA is filed under the name uncultured bacterium. Its description in RNAcentral is "partial 16S ribosomal RNA". It matches the Rfam family "Bacterial small subunit ribosomal RNA", at positions 524 to 776 of the family's 1533-position model. The record is from RNAcentral.
UACGUAGGGUGCGAGCGUUGUCCGGAAUUAUUGGGCGUAAAGAGCUCGUAGGCGGUGUGUCACGUCGGCCGUGAAAACCUGCAGCUUAACUGUGGGCGUGCGGUCGAUACGGGCAUCACUGGAGUUCGGCAGGGGAGACUGGAAUUCCUGGUGUAGCGGUGAAAUGCGCAGAUAUCGGGAGGAACACCAAUGGCGAAGGCAGCUUGCUGGGACGGUACUGACGCUGAGGCGCGAAGGCCAGGGGAGCAAACGGG